Molecule: ribosomal RNA, 484 nt
Filed under: uncultured bacterium
Lineage: Bacteria
Description: partial 16S ribosomal RNA
Rfam family: Bacterial small subunit ribosomal RNA
Source: RNAcentral
UGGGGAAUAUUGCACAAUGGGCGAAAGCCUGAUGCAGCAACGCCGCGUGAGUGAUGAAGGUCUUCGGAUUGUAAAGCUCUGUCUUUUGGGACGAUAAUGACGGUACCAAAGGAGGAAGCCACGGCUAACUACGUGCCAGCAGCCGCGGUAAUACGUAGGUGGCGAGCGUUGUCCGGAUUUACUGGGCGUGAAGGGUGCGUAGGCGGAUGUUUAAGUGAGAUGUGAAAUACCCGGGCUUAACUUGGGUGCUGCAUUUCAAACUGGAUAUCUAGAGUGCAGGAGAGGAGAAUGGAAUUCCUAGUGUAGCGGUGAAAUGCGUAGAGAUUAGGAAGAACACCAGUGGCGAAGGCGAUUCUCUGGACUGUAACUGACGCUGAGGCACGAAAGCGUGGGUAGCAAACAGGAUUAGAUACCCUGGUAGUCCACGCCGUAAACGAUGAGUACUAGGUGUAGGAGGUAUCGACCCCUUCUGUGCCGCAGUAAA